Long non-coding RNA from Hippocampus comes (tiger tail seahorse), 217 nucleotides. RefSeq lists it as uncharacterized. The transcript is spliced from 3 exons. The record is from RefSeq and is a predicted model, not a curated record. NCBI's taxonomy places the organism in Eukaryota, Metazoa, Chordata, Actinopteri, Syngnathiformes, Syngnathidae.
AAACACAAAUCCUGCAAAUCGUCCACAGAGCGGGGGGGGCGUGGGCUUAUCCUUUUGUCCUCUUGUCGUGUUCACAUCAGUCAUAUGCAAAUGCAAAUUGCACAUUGAGAAUGACACAAAUCCGCCAUGUCGAAACUCUCACAGAGAACCGGCGACGGCUAUUGAGUUAACAUGAUUUAUAAGACUGACCCACUUCCGGGGGGGUGGGCAGGACAUU